CACGAAGUUAGCCGGGGCUUCUUCUCCGACUACCGUCAUUAUCUUCAUCGGUGAAAGUGCUUUACAACCCUAAGGCCUUCAUCACACACGCGGCAUGGCUGGAUCAGGCUUGCGCCCAUUGUCCAAUAUUCCCCACUGCUGCCUCCCGUAGGAGUUUGGGCCGUGUCUCAGUCCCAAUGUGGCUGAUCAUCCUCUCAGACCAGCUAUGGAUCGUCGCCUUGGUAGGCCUUUACCCCACCAACUAGCUAAUCCAACGCGGGCCAAUCCUUUGCCGAUAAAUCUUUCCCCCGAAGGGCACAUACGGUAUUAGCUCCAGUUUCCCGGAGUUGUUCCGUAGCAAAGGGUAUGUUCCCACGCGUUACUCACCCGUCUGCCGCUCCCCUUGCGGGCGCUCGACUUGCAUGUGUUAAGCCUGCCGCCAGCGUUCGUUCUGAGCCAGGAUCAAACUCU
RNAcentral lists this ribosomal RNA (450 nucleotides) under uncultured Rhizobium sp. RNAcentral describes it as "partial 16S ribosomal RNA". Lineage: Bacteria; Pseudomonadati; Pseudomonadota; Alphaproteobacteria; Hyphomicrobiales; Rhizobiaceae. The record is from RNAcentral.